Ictalurus punctatus (channel catfish) is the source of this 106-nucleotide small nuclear RNA. Lineage: Eukaryota; Metazoa; Chordata; Actinopteri; Siluriformes; Ictaluridae. The record is from Ensembl.
GUGGGACUUCAGCACGUACACUAAAAUUGUAAAAACGAUACGGAGAAGAUUAGCAUGGCCCCUGCGCUAGGAUGACACGCAAAAUUGCAAUACGGCCGCCAUGUUG